Molecule: ribosomal RNA, 615 nt
Filed under: Triticum aestivum (bread wheat)
Lineage: Eukaryota; Viridiplantae; Streptophyta; Magnoliopsida; Poales; Poaceae
Description: partial small subunit ribosomal RNA
Source: RNAcentral
AUGUCCCGGCUUAACUAGGGGAUUAUCUCUUUGAUUCCCAUGGUCCUGGGCGCUGCUGACAUAAGGCAAUUCCAGCCUAUCACAGUUCUCAAUGUGAUAUUCCGGAUUUUGGCCAAGGGGUACGCCACUAGGGCGGCCCUUAUCGCUCCCUGGAUCCAUCACCCAAACCAAUCUGCCUUCACGAAAGGCAGGUAUAUUCUGGAUGGGAUCCUCGUUCUCUAUGAGAUCAUCCAUGAGGUCAAGAGCAAGCACCUCCGCGCGGUGUUCUUCAAGAUUGACUUCCAUAAAGCAUACGACACCGUCCAUUGGUCCUUCCUUCGGGAGGUGUUGCUCAAGCCUGGAUUCGACCCUCAUUGGGUGGCGAGGGUGAUGCAGUUAGUGACGAGCGGCCGCACAGCUGUGAACAUCAAUGGGGAGAUCGGGCCUUACUUCAUGACUGGCCAAGGCGUUCGGCAAGGGGAUCCGAUCUCCCCAUUUCUUUUCAACCUUGUGGUUGAUGCUCUAGCAUCGAUCCUUGAUUUGGCCAAACGAGCCGGUCACAUUCGGGGGAUUUUACCCCAUAUUGUGGCCAAUGGAGGUCUAACCCACCUCCAAUAUGCGAUGAUACCAUUAUGA